GCCUGGGUGGCUCAGUCGGUUGAGCAUCUGACUUCGGCUCAGGUCAUGAUCUCACGGUUCGUGAGUUCGAGCCCCACAUCAGGCU
Molecule: transfer RNA, 85 nt
Filed under: Felis catus (domestic cat)
Lineage: Eukaryota; Metazoa; Chordata; Mammalia; Carnivora; Felidae
Also listed under: 1 other name
Rfam family: tRNA
About the family: Transfer RNA (tRNA) molecules are approximately 80 nucleotides in length. Their secondary structure includes four short double-helical elements and three loops (D, anti-codon, and T loops). Further hydrogen bonds mediate the characteristic L-shaped molecular structure. tRNAs have two regions of fundamental functional importance: the anti-codon, which is responsible for specific mRNA codon recognition, and the 3' end, to which the tRNAs corresponding amino acid is attached (by aminoacyl-tRNA synthetases). tRNAs cope with the degeneracy of the genetic code in two manners: having more than one tRNA (with a specific anti-codon) for a particular amino acid; and 'wobble' base-pairing, i.e. permitting non-standard base-pairing at the 3rd anti-codon position.
Source: Rfam by way of RNAcentral